RNAcentral lists this ribosomal RNA (376 nucleotides) under uncultured bacterium. RNAcentral's name for it is "bacterial SSU rRNA". It matches the Rfam family "Bacterial small subunit ribosomal RNA", at positions 29 to 430 of the family's 1533-position model. The record is from RNAcentral.
AACGAACGCUGGCGGCAGGCUUAACACAUGCAAGUCGAGCGCGUGUCGCAAGACACGAGCGGCAGACGGGAGAGUAACACGUGGGAACGUACCCUUUGGUUCGGAACAACCCAGGGAAACUUGGACUAAUACCGGAUAAGCCCUUACGGGGAAAGAUUUAUCGCCAAAGGAUCGGCCCGCGUCUGAUUAGCUAGUUGGUGAGGUAACGGCUCACCAAGGCGACGAUCAGUAGCUGGUCUGAGAGGAUGAUCAGCCUCACUGGGACUGAGACACGGCCCAGACUCCUACGGGAGGCAGCAGUGGGGAAUAUUGGACAAUGGGCGCAAGCCUGAUCCAGCCAUGCCGCGUGGGUGAUGAAGGCCCUAGGGUUGUAAAG